RNAcentral lists this ribosomal RNA (1383 nucleotides) under uncultured bacterium. RNAcentral's name for it is "16S ribosomal RNA". It matches the Rfam family "Bacterial small subunit ribosomal RNA", at positions 28 to 1399 of the family's 1533-position model. The record is from RNAcentral.
GAUGAACGCUAGCGGCAGGCUUAACACAUGCAAGUCGAGGGGCAGCGAGAUCAGUGCUUGCACUGAUUGUCGGCGACCGGCGCACGGGUGCGUAACGCGUAUGCAACCUACCCAUUACAGGGGGAUAACACUGAGAAAUCGGUACUAAUACCCCAUAACAUCCAGGGAGGCAUCUUCUUGGGUUGAAAACUCCGGUGGUAAUGGAUGGGCAUGCGUUGUAUUAGUUAGUUGGUGGGGUAACGGCUCACCAAGACAACGAUACAUAGGGGGACUGAGAGGUUAACCCCCCACAUUGGUACUGAGACACGGACCAAACUCCUACGGGAGGCAGCAGUGAGGAAUAUUGGUCAAUGGACGCAAGUCUGAACCAGCCAUGCCGCGUGCAGGAAGACGGCUCUAUGAGUUGUAAACUGCUUUUGUACGAGGGUAAACGCACAUACUCGUAUCUGUCUGAAAGUAUCGUACGAAUAAGGAUCGGCUAACUCCGCGCCUGCUACCGCGGUAAUACGGAAGAUUCCAGCGUCUUCCGGAUUUUAUUGGGUUUAAAGGGUGACGUAGCCGGUCGGAUAAGUUAGAGGGUGAAAUCCCGGGGGCUCAAUUUCGGAAUUAACGUCUGAUACUGUUCGGCUAGAGAGUAGUUGCGGUAGGCGGGAAUGUAUGGUGUAGCGGUGAAAUGCUUUAGAGAUCAUACAGAACACCGGUUGCGAAGGCAGCUUACCAAGCUACUUCUGACGUUGAGGCACGAAAGCGUGGGGAGCAAACAGGAUUAGAUACCCUGGUAGUCCACGCAGUAAACGAUGAUAACUCGUUGUCGGCGAUACAGUGUCGGUGACUAAGCGAAAGCGAUAAGUUAUCCACCUGGGGAGUACGUUCGCAAGAAUGAAACUCAAAGGAAUUGACGGGGGCCCGCACAAGCGGAGGAACAUGUGGUUUAAUUCGAUGAUACGCGAGGAACCUUACCCGGGCUUGAAAGUUAGUGACGGAUCUUGAAAGAGGUCUUCCCUUCGGGGCACGAAACUAGGUGCUGCAUGGUUGUCGUCAGCUCGUGCCGUGAGGUGUCGGGUUAAGUCCCAUAACGAGCGCAACCCCUACCGUUAGUUGCCAGCAGGUCAAGCUGGGCACUCUGACGGGACUGCCGGUGUAAGCCGAGAGGAAGGUGGGGAUGACGUCAAAUCAGCACGGCCCUUACGUCCGGGGCUACACACGUGUUACAAUGGCAGGUACAGAGGGCAGCUACCCAGCGAUGGGAUGCGAAUCUCGAAAGCCUGUCUCAGUUCGGAUUGGAGGCUGAAACCCGCCUCCAUGAAGUUGGAUUCGCUAGUAAUCGCGCAUCAGCCAUGGCGCGGUGAAUACGUUCCCGGGCCUUGUACUCACCGCCCGUCA